RNAcentral lists this long non-coding RNA (232 nucleotides) under Nicotiana benthamiana. Its description in RNAcentral is "long non-coding RNA (NBEN_LNC025130)". Lineage: Eukaryota; Viridiplantae; Streptophyta; Magnoliopsida; Solanales; Solanaceae. The record is from RNAcentral.
CCUGCUCUUGCUUCUACCUCUCCAUUUGCUUUUGCUACUCUUUUGUUGCCUCCCCCGGUUCUCUGUGACAAAGGCAUGGGUCUGAUCUGUGCCCAUCUCCUUUCUCUUUGCCUCUUCACUGAAUAGGGCAUCCUUGGCCAUUGACAUGGUAAGUUUGCCAUUAGGGGCUGAGUUGCUGAGUGAUACAACCAGCGUUUCCCAACUAUCGUGAAGGGAACUGAGUAGUAACAGC